This 268-nucleotide ribosomal RNA is filed under the name uncultured bacterium. RNAcentral describes it as "partial 16S ribosomal RNA". It matches the Rfam family "Bacterial small subunit ribosomal RNA", at positions 524 to 777 of the family's 1533-position model. The record is from RNAcentral.
GACGUAGGGCGCGAGCGUUGUCCGGAUUUAUUGGGCGUAAAAGAGCUCGUAGGCGGCUUGUCGCGUCGACUGUGAAAAACUCAGGGCUCAACUCUGAGCUUGCAGUCGAUACGGGCAGGCUCGAGUUCGGGUAGGGGGAGACUGGAAUUCCUGGUGUAGCGGUGAAAAUGCGCAGAUAUCAGGAGGAACACCGGUGGCGAAAGGGCGGGGUCUCUGGGCAGUAACUGACGCUGGAGGAAGGCGAAAAGCGUGGGGGAGGCGAACAGGA